AGAGUUUGAUCCUGGCUCAGGAUGAACGCUAGCGGCAGGCUUAACACAUGCAAGUCGAGGGGUAUAGGUUUUCGGACCUAGAGACCGGCGCACGGGUGCGUAACGCGUAUGCAAUCUACCUUUUACAGAGGGAUAGCCCAGAGAAAUUUGGAUUAAUACCUCAUAGUAUUAUUGAAUGGCAUCAUUUAAUAAUUAAAGUCACAACGGUAAAAGAUGAGCAUGCGUCCCAUUAGCUAGAUGGUAAGGUAACGGCUUACCAUGGCGACGAUGGGUAGGGGUCCUGAGAGGGAGAUCCCCCACACUGGUACUGAGACACGGACCAGACUCCUACGGGAGGCAGCAGUGAGGAAUAUUGGUCAAUGGGCGCAAGCCUGAACCAGCCAUGCCGCGUGCAGGAUGACGGUCCUAUGGAUUGUAAACUGCUUUUGUACAGGAAGAAACAGUUCUACGUGUAGAACCUUGACGGUACUGUAAGAAUAAGGAUCGGCUAACUCCGUGCCAGCAGCCGCGGUAAUACGGAGGAUCCAAGCGUUAUCCGGAAUCAUUGGGUUUAAAGGGUCCGUAGGCGGUUUUGUAAGUCAGUGGUGAAAGCCCAUCGCUCAACGGUGGAACGGCCAUUGAUACUGCAAGACUUGAAUUAUUAGGAAGUAACUAGAAUAUGUAGUGUAGCGGUGAAAUGCUUAGAGAUUACAUGGAAUACCAAUUGCGAAGGCAGGUUACUACUAAUUGAUUGACGCUGAUGGACGAAAGCGUGGGGAGCGAACAGGAUUAGAUACCCUGGUAGUCCACGCCGUAAACGAUGGAUACUAGCUGUUCGGAGCAAUCUGAGUGGCUAAGCGAAAGUGAUAAGUAUCCCACCUGGGGAGUACGUUCGCAAGAAUGAAACUCAAAGGAAUUGACGG
Molecule: ribosomal RNA, 902 nt
Filed under: uncultured bacterium
Lineage: Bacteria
Description: bacterial SSU rRNA
Rfam family: Bacterial small subunit ribosomal RNA
Source: RNAcentral